Molecule: long non-coding RNA, 815 nt
Organism: Drosophila rhopaloa
Lineage: Eukaryota; Metazoa; Arthropoda; Insecta; Diptera; Drosophilidae
Exons: 3
Source: RefSeq, a predicted model, not a curated record
GCUGCGCUACCAUCCAUCAUAAACCCCUGGGGAGGAAUGAUAUCCUUUAUCUCUCGGUUCACUUUCUGAUUGGCUUGGGAACGUGUAGCUGGCGGAGUCAUUAUUUCGGAUCCGCGGUUCAAAAAAAAACUCUAAACUUCUUCUAAUUUUUCUAUUAAAUGUCUGCCUGUUUCUUUCGCCUUCUGACAAGGACCACGACCGCUGGAUGUUGUGUUCCUUCUUCCGACGCCCUUGAUGGGCCGCGCCGAACCAGGAUAUUUCUGUCUCCUGUCGGGGUCCCGGUCGUGGGCACCUCAGCGAUCAUCCUACGUGGCUGCGUCUCUCGCCUCUUAGUGGGACUUCUACGAUUUGCUCUUGGUAGCAAUUAUCCAGGACCACCACUAGUUGUCGAGGACCGGCCGGAGAUUCUCUUCCUUUUCUUUUUUUCUGUCUUUUUAUAUUGGGCGCCACUCUGUUAUGUCUCGACUUAUUUUUGGUGAUCCAACCAUCGGAUUCCGGCUAGCAAUCGGAUUUCUCAAGCACUUGAUGACAACUUUAAAAAUGAAAGGAAACAAGGACUGCGGACCUGCUGUUGAUGGCCGCGGAAUAUACCCCCCCUUCCUUGAGCUGCUGUAUCUUUUAAGCAACUCCCCGACACUGGCUACUGGGUCUAUUAUGCGUCACCUCACCCCAUUGUUAACACUCUACUCGCUCAUUUUCUUUUCCACUUUAAUUCACAAAAUGCUUAUAAAUAACAUUCAUUUAACUUCACAAUUCCCUAACCUGGGUACCACAGGGACGAUUACAUCACACAUGAAUAAAUAGUUAUAAGUAUA